RNAcentral lists this long non-coding RNA (335 nucleotides) under Helianthus annuus (common sunflower). RNAcentral describes it as "sRNA HanXRQr2_Chr03g0104161". The record is from RNAcentral. Lineage: Eukaryota; Viridiplantae; Streptophyta; Magnoliopsida; Asterales; Asteraceae.
UUAGUGUUCACAUACAGCUUGGGCCCAAAAAAGCUGAACUGCAAAGAAGCCGUACUUUGCUGCUUUCGUUGUGGGCCAAGGGGUAGAUCACUGAACACAGGGGCCCAUUGUCUCGGUAACUGGAAUUCCAAAAACUGAUGAAGCUCUUCGAUUGGUGGUUUAUCUCGUAAAUAGAGGUUUAUGGCAUGACUUAAGUAACCAGAUCCGGAAACACCAUUCAGCAAUGAAGUGAUUGGAACGAAAGACAUUGUGAUGACAUCAGGCUCUAACUGUACGCUAUGCAACCACUCGUUAUGUUUAAGGUUCCUAUCAUCAUUCCCACCUCUCCUUUUGCA